Small nuclear RNA from Procambarus clarkii (red swamp crayfish), 103 nucleotides. Lineage: Eukaryota; Metazoa; Arthropoda; Malacostraca; Decapoda; Cambaridae. The record is from RefSeq and is a predicted model, not a curated record.
UUUUUCAAGGCAGUACAUGUACUAAAAACUGGAAUGUUACAGAGAAGAUUAGUAUGGCCUCUGUGCAAUGAUAUAAAAAAAUUGUGAAGUGUUUCACAUUUUA